RNAcentral lists this transfer RNA (88 nucleotides) under Bifidobacterium catenulatum. RNAcentral's name for it is "tRNA-Ser". It matches the Rfam family "tRNA". Rfam says of the family: Transfer RNA (tRNA) molecules are approximately 80 nucleotides in length. Their secondary structure includes four short double-helical elements and three loops (D, anti-codon, and T loops). RNAcentral also lists the same sequence under 12 other names. The record is from RNAcentral. Lineage: Bacteria; Bacillati; Actinomycetota; Actinomycetes; Bifidobacteriales; Bifidobacteriaceae.
GGGUAGGUGUCUGAGCGGUCUAAAGAGACGGUCUUGAAAACCGUUGAGGUGCAAGCCUCCGCGAGUUCGAAUCUCGCCUUACCCGCCU